Molecule: long non-coding RNA, 1379 nt
Filed under: Elaeis guineensis (African oil palm)
Lineage: Eukaryota; Viridiplantae; Streptophyta; Magnoliopsida; Arecales; Arecaceae
Description: long non-coding RNA (EGUI_LNC073024)
Source: RNAcentral
CCUUCGUCUCCUCUUUGUCUUUAUUAUUUCUAGAUAUGGCACUUGUUGCACCAAAAAGAGGAAAAUGAAAUAGAGAAAAACUAAGAUAGCAUGCACAUCUACUAAAGGAGACUCCAAAAAGAAAGUCUUCAAUUCAUGUAAAAGCAUUGACGGAGACAACAGGAGACCUUCAAGACCUGGAUAGAAGUUUUGCAAGGAUCUGAAAACUAGUAGAAUUAACACAAAUGCAAGUAAAUAGAAAUGGUAGAGAAGGAUAAGGCUCAAUGAAUAUAGCAAGGCCUGUUAUAUACAUAAUGCUAGCAUUUACUCGGAAUUAGAUGAACUAAAAGGGGAAAAUACUAUCUUUUAAUUGUACGUCACACAUUACACAAUUCUAAUGACCAUGUCCAAUUCAUGCUGUCAUCUAAAAUGCUACAAAACAUCCCUUCACUUUUUCAUUCAUUCAGUGUUGAUGCAUAUGUUCGUGAAGACUAUUGUUAAAGAUUUUAGAAUUUAUGUUCAGUUUUUAUUCUAUAUUUUUUUUGACUUACUGGAGUUUUAAAUAGUAUGUUGGAAAUAUGAACUUCUAAUAUCAAUUUUGAAGGAUUUAGAUCCCUUUCCUUCCUCCUGAACAUCUAAUUUAUGUACAUCUCUUUAUUUUAGAGUUCCAUUGAGACUUGGCCUAAAGUGUGCUUAUAGAAGGGUAAGCAUCUAGGUUUACUUUGCUCCAAUUUUCACCUUUUUUGUCUGAAUCAGAAAUAUUUCCAUUUUCUUUGUGUGUUGUGAGACAAUUACUGCCACACCAAAAGAUAUUAUUUGUGGGGCCUUUUUCUUAGGUAAGCCAAAUACAUAAAGGAGAGAAAAGGGUCACAAAGAAAUAGACACAGACAUUCCAUCUUAAUUGGCCAUCCAUAUGGCCCCUUCUAAGGAGAAAGAUUAUGUAGGGUUGAAUAAGACUGAAAUUUUUUUCUCAUUUUUUGAGAUAACAUUGCUCUCCUCUACAAGAAAAACAAUCUUUCCUAAGUUUAUCUAUAAGAAACCAUGGGGAUCAAAGAUUACCAACAGUAUUGAACCAGUCAAUUUUGGAACGUAUCGAACCAAACCAGUUAGUUACCAGCACGAUUUAAUAUGCCUAUUUAGUAUAUAAAUCCAUGAGUUAAGUCAAGGCUCAUCUCUCCCCCUCUUGACCAUGCGAGCUUUGUCUCUCUCUCCUUCUCGAUGUGUGCAGCUGCUCCUCUAUCUCUUGAUGCCCUCAUAAAGCCUUUCCAACUGCACCUCUCUAUUCUGACGCCCUCGUUAGGCCUCCUUUUAUGGCUCCUUUCUUUCUCAAUACUCUCACAAAGCCUCCUCCGGCCAUUUCUCGCCAUCCCGACAAGUGAGUCAUACUCCUCUCUCUUCCC